RNAcentral lists this ribosomal RNA (439 nucleotides) under uncultured bacterium. RNAcentral's name for it is "partial 16S ribosomal RNA". It matches the Rfam family "Bacterial small subunit ribosomal RNA", at positions 339 to 795 of the family's 1533-position model. The record is from RNAcentral.
CUACGGGGCGCUGCAGUGGGGAAUAUUGGACAAUGGGCGCAAGCCUGAUCCAGCAAUGCCGCGUGAGUGAAGACGGCCUUAGGGUUAUAAAACUCUUUCGCUAGGGAAGAUAAUGACUGUACCUAGUAAAGAAGUCCCGGCUAACUCCGUGCCAGCAGCCGCGGUAAUACGGAGGGGACUAGCGUUGUUCGGAAUUACUGGGCGUAAAGAGUUUGUAGGCGGACUGACAAGUUAGAGGUGAAAUCCCAGGGCUCAACCCUGGAACUGCCUUUAAAACUGUCAGUCUAGAGACCGGAAGAGGUUAGGGGAAUACCUAGUGUAGAGGUGAAAUUCGUAGAUAUUAGGUGGAACACCAGUGGCGAAGGCGCCUAACUGGUCCGGUACUGACGCUGAGGAACGAAAGCGUGGGGAGCAAACAGGAUUAGAUACCCUAGUAGUC